This is a long non-coding RNA of Microplitis mediator, 876 nucleotides long. RefSeq lists it as uncharacterized. The record is from RefSeq and is a predicted model, not a curated record. Lineage: Eukaryota; Metazoa; Arthropoda; Insecta; Hymenoptera; Braconidae. The transcript has 3 exons.
UAACAGUAAAAGUACAGAAGCGUAAUUGUAUUUCUUCAAAAAGAGAAGGGCGGGCAAAACGGACCACCCCAAAAAUUUAUUUUUCCAAAAUUGUAUCCCUCACUUACGACUCUUAUCAUUAUUUUUGCCUGGGAAUUCAAAAUUAACGCGUAUUUUUUAAAAUAAUUACGCAAUAACAAAAAUUGCAAUCAGUAACUACUCAUUUUUAUUUAUUACUUGCAACGAGUCAUAUCAUCGCACAUAUAUGGGCUUUAGUUUAUCAUAACAAAAUAAAACUUACCGGCUGUUAUCACGUAUUUUUACGAACUUGAGGAACUAUUAUUUAGUUUAUCGUAAUACUAGUAAAAAAAAAGUUUAGAAAACAAAGUAAAACUCGCCAAUGCUUAUCACCAUCUACGUAAGAUAUGAUGGAUUGAAACCUCGUACGAAAUGCCGAAACGAUUUUUAUUACACAAAAAAUUUUGUGUCCAUGGGAUUUAUUUCCAGCAGAAACUGAAUAGAAAAAACCCGGGAAUGAAUACUUUGGAUCUAAUGAGGUUUAAUUUAGAAGGAUUUCUAAUUAUUGUUUUUUUUUUUUUUAAUUAUCAAAAACCUGUUAUCGAAUAUAAUUAAAAAACAUUAUUUUGUUUUCUCUAAAUUUCCUGAGAUGUUCAUAAUAUCGGGUAUGCGCCGGAUGUUUGCGCGUCUGAAAUAUGAUUCUUGGGAUUUACAUUUGAAUAAAGUCUCUAUUGAAGAAACAGCGGGAAUCACUCGCGAACGGGUAUAUAAACCCGGACGGUCGUCCUCAGAGCAUAUUACUUCUGAGUAAGCAACCACGGAAGCAUCUGCUACCAAGUUUUUAAAAUCUUUUUAAACUUAAAGUUAUAAAACCAAAAC